This 922-nucleotide long non-coding RNA is filed under the name Mytilus galloprovincialis (Mediterranean mussel). Lineage: Eukaryota; Metazoa; Mollusca; Bivalvia; Mytilida; Mytilidae. The record is from RNAcentral.
UUGGCAGUGGCUUAUUUGCCGGUGAAACAGUAAUUAUGAUCUGAUUAUAAUAUCUCGAUUAAAAGCGAGCUAUAAAUAGCUAUACCAUAAUUCAUGGAGUUUUUUCUUAAGAUUUCCAAAUUGAUGAAACAAAAUAUUCUGUUCGAGUACAGGACAAAAAAUAUUCUGAAUCCAGAUUCCACCCAUACCUUAUAGUGUUAGAUUUAAAAAAAAAAUUGAUUGAUAUCGUUGAAAAAUUAAAUAAAAUUGUUUGCGCUUCACUGACUUAAGCAAAAACCAUGACCCUCCUUGAAGUUAAAUUGUUGCUCCCUGACGAGUCUACAGUUUAUUUUUAAAUUAUAUUUAAUAUCACUAUGCAAAUUUUAUCAAUGUCAAUUUUUGUAGAGUCUUACAUGAAGAACUACAUGUACCCCUCAGCAAGGACAUCAGAUAUUGAAGAAUUGAUUGGGGAAACCCUAAAACAUACACCCCCAAAACCAGGCGGAACACGCUAUAAGGUAAGAAUACCCUUAUUUCCCCCGUAUAGUGCAACCUAUAUUGGAAUAUUUCCCAAAAUUAUUAUUGUUUGUAUUCUAUGUUGUUUGUUUUUUUUUAAUUCAGUACGAAAUUGUUAUCAGUAUAGAUAUGCAUUUGUAACUAGCAUUGUGAAGAUCAAGAUACUCUUUUGGGACAAUAAAGGGUAACAUUAAAUUUAACUGAAUAUAUAAUUAUGUGGUUUAUGUAUUUUUCAAGGAGAUUUGGAAAGCCACGUCUUACACACAGCUACAUAGAUCUAGUAUUUAUUUGCAAUAAUGUUUGACCUAGAAUAAUUACAAUUUAACUUUUUGUACAAAUAAGUUUUUGUAUUGUCAUUGCAGGAACCAACUGUAAGAGGGUAAUUGCAGCAGCUCCGGAAAUACCACCACCAGGGACCCAGGAGAAC